AGGCAACGCAGUUGCUCAGGUGCUUCGGUAUCACAGCCAAGACCCCUUCGGGGGAAGCUAGUCGGAUACUGGGACCCACAUUCCAGACUACUGAGCCGCGGUCGCGCCCUCGGCUCCGUUUCUGCUCCCUCCACCCCACGAGGACGGGGGUGGAAGGCCACCUUCGAUGGGUGCAUCCUCCACGAUGACCUGCUAACAAAGGUGCAUGGAUUUCAGAGUCUGAUUGGCCUACAACAGCAUUUGGCUUGUGGAGACAGUGGUUCCCUGAUGAAAAACUGCCAUGAUGGGAAUAGAAACAAUCAGAGGAAACUUCCGUGAGUUCCCAGGACACAUCCACCCACCUCCUCCACGUGUAACCACCACCUCUACCUUCCCCUCUGGUGCUGUGGAUGAGCCAUCCGUGCUCCUGGCAAAGGCCCACCUGCCACUUGGGCACAGGAACCCAUCCAUCCCUCCUUACCUCUGGUAACUCUCCCUCUCUCUCUCCUGCAUCCUUCAUAUUCUCUGGGUUGUAUUCUCUUCCAGCCCCCACCCCCUGCCCACCUCCAGCAUGUAAAAGUGCUGUUAUUGUUUCCACUUUAAAACAAACCCUAAAAAUAAGUAAAUAAAAUAAACCCUACCC
RNAcentral lists this long non-coding RNA (622 nucleotides) under Homo sapiens (human). Its description in RNAcentral is "long intergenic non-protein coding RNA 910". The record is from RNAcentral. Lineage: Eukaryota; Metazoa; Chordata; Mammalia; Primates; Hominidae.